Oncorhynchus tshawytscha (Chinook salmon) is the source of this 1368-nucleotide long non-coding RNA. RefSeq lists it as uncharacterized. The transcript has 2 exons. The record is from RefSeq and is a predicted model, not a curated record. NCBI's taxonomy places the organism in Eukaryota, Metazoa, Chordata, Actinopteri, Salmoniformes, Salmonidae.
CCUCCCCUUCCAGUUCAUUCCUGGAUUUGGUCUGAGGUAUUUUGUCUGAAGAGUGGCCGUCGAGGAAUUUGAAUACCUAAUAAAAACGUUUUCUUCAAUUAAUUGACAUUUCAUUACUAGUUUUGCCUCCAGUUUGUUCGUCGGAAUAGCUUUAUUUUAGCUGCCACAACCCCGCCCAAACAUUGUCAGUAGAAUGGCCUGUACUGAAGAACUCAGUGACUUUCAACGUGGCACCGUCAUAGGAUGCCACCUUUCCAACAAGUCAGUAAGUCAAAUUUCUGCUCAGCUAGAACUGCCCAGGUCAACUGUGAGUGCUGUUAUAGUGGAGUGGAAACGUCUGGGAGCAACAACUGCUGAGCCUCGAAGUGGUAAGCCACACAAGCUCACAGAACGGGACCGGCAAGUGCUGUAGCGUGAAGAUAUUGUCUGUCCUCUGUUGCAACACACUACAGAGUUCCAAACUGCAUCUGAAAGCAACGUCAGCACGAAUGUUUGUUGGGAGCUUAAUGAAAUGGGUUUCCAUGGCCAAACAGCCGCACACAGGCCUAAGAUCACCAUGCACAAUGCCAAGCGUCUGCUGGAGUGGUGUAAGCCAGAUAGACGGGGACUUUGAGGACUACAAACAGGUUCUGGAAACACUGGGGGAGACCCUGGUCCACUAGGUCAAAGAGUGUCCUACCUACUGCAGAACCGGGGCUCUAUUGGCACUAUUCCCUGUACUGCACCAUUUUUCACCAGAGCAUUAUGGGCCCUGGUCAAAUGUACUGCACUAUGUAGGGAAUAGGGUACCAUUUUGAACAGACCCAGGAGGAAAUAGAAAUGUAAUGCAAAAUAACCUACCACUGAAGCUGGCUGUCAUUAGCUCAGGGCAUCUCGAUAGUCUAACGUGGCUUUGUUUCCUUGUCUCACCUGAUCGUUCACCACUUAUUUAAAUAAGCAUCAUGGCUUAAGUCUCUCCCAAAUCAGUUUAUUUGAAAAAAGGUGUGGUGAGGAAGCCACGUUAAGAGUAUUGAGAAUACACCCCUGGUGUACUGCAGUAUCCUCUCAGCCUAUGAGAUGCAUACAUUUUCUUGAGUCCAAUUUGCCACCUUGCCCCCCUCCACACAACUGUAUAUCUGAAAAGAUAGGGUGUGAUUUGGAAUUCAGAAUUUGACUGGACAAGUGGGCAUGUCUCACCCAGGUGACAAUGGGACAGAAAUAGCAACAUGCUGAAGUAUUUCUAUUAUAGAGGAAAUGGCAAUACAUUACCAGUGGAUCCACACAUGUAGAAACCAAGCUCUUAUUACCUGGGAAUAAACAUGUUGACACCUGUAUGAUUAAGUAUUUACUACAGACAAAGGCAAUUAAAUAAAUGGAUUUUACAAUGUC